AUGUACAAGUUGUACAAGAGCGAGCUGGACGCGAUCACGCCUGAGCAGGUGGAAUGGGAGCCGUAUGGAAAAGGAGAGAGUUUUGGUAACCCUGUAGAGUUCAGGUUGAAUCCGAUGUGCACUAGGGAUAGGGAUCUCUGGCAUAUGUGGUGCCCACUCAUACGCAACUGGGCGGUUGAGCUUCACCUGCCACAUCGGGUGUUCCGCCAGUUUGGUUUGUUCCAGCCACACCCGCCGGAGUGGGAGGACACCGACAAGUUGCUACACGCGUUGGAUAGGAAAAAGCAGCGGAAGAUCAAGGAUUGGGCCAAGCAUCACAGGAAGUAUGUCGUACAGUUCGCGCUUAGUGUGGAGCAAGCUAGGGAUGGAAAACGAGCCCAACUUCGUGAGCACUGCCCGAUCGCGUUCAACAACUAUCUCAUAUGGUUUCUUGCAAGUACCCGUGUGGAGGUAUGCAAGCCGGCGUAUGCUGAGGAGAUUUUGGAAGAUCCCACCGUUUUUGAUGAGCUAGCCCAGCACCAAUAG
This 525-nucleotide ribosomal RNA is filed under the name Triticum aestivum (bread wheat). RNAcentral's name for it is "partial small subunit ribosomal RNA". The record is from RNAcentral. Lineage: Eukaryota; Viridiplantae; Streptophyta; Magnoliopsida; Poales; Poaceae.